RNAcentral lists this ribosomal RNA (253 nucleotides) under uncultured Dehalobacterium sp. RNAcentral describes it as "partial 16S ribosomal RNA". It matches the Rfam family "Bacterial small subunit ribosomal RNA", at positions 524 to 776 of the family's 1533-position model. The record is from RNAcentral. Lineage: Bacteria; Bacillati; Bacillota; Clostridia; Eubacteriales; Peptococcaceae.
UACGUAGGGAGCAAGCGUUGUCCGGAAUUACUGGGCGUAAAGGGCGCGUAGGUGGGCGCUUAAGUCAGGUGUGAAAACUCCGGGCUCAACCUGGAGACUGCACUUGAAACUGGGUGUCUUGAGGGCAGGAGAGGAAAGUGGAAUUCCUAGUGUAGCGGUGAAAUGCGUAGAUAUCACGCAGAACUCCGAUUGCGAAGGCAGCAUACCGGCGCCCAACUGACGCUGAAGCACGAAAGCGUGGGUAUCGAACAGG